Astatotilapia calliptera (eastern happy) is the source of this 1518-nucleotide long non-coding RNA. The record is from Ensembl. Lineage: Eukaryota; Metazoa; Chordata; Actinopteri; Cichliformes; Cichlidae.
UGAGAGCAUGAGGGUGGGAAUGGAUGUUUGUGUCUGUGUGUGCCUGUAUGUCUGUGUCUAUAUGUCAGGUUGGGUGUCAGGCGCCACCUCUCUGGGGACAUCUCAGGCCCUCCAAGGUUUGGAGGCCUAUCUCCACCCACCACCACUUCCCCUGCCAGUGGCGGACCCCCUCAGACAUCGGUGCGUUGGUGGUUCUUUGUGUCCGGGGAUGGGCGUCCAGCUGGCUGCCGGCGGAGCUCACGGGCGCGUCACUGCAACUCCCCCUGGCUUCUGCUCCGCGGCUGCUGAGUGAGCCCUCAUCUGGGACUCUCCUCAGCUCUUUCCGGGACAGUGGCGCAGCUGCCCCUCUGUUGGUCUUCCAUGGUCUCUUGUGUUCUGGGGGCCUCUGGAUGUCUGGAGUUUUGAUCUCCUCUACACCUGCUUCACGCUCUGGAGGACGGGGCUGUGGCCCCCCCACACCCUCUAGCAGAUUAUUACAUGAAGGAACCUUUUAAAAAAAAAAAAAAAAAAACAAGCGCGUCCAUGCUCACAGGUGUACACACGGGUGAUCACACCCACAAACUACACCCUUUUUGGCUCCUACCUCAAAGCACACUGUGUUCUGUUGAUCUUAUGUGCUGCACAAUAAUGUUUAAUAUUUAGUAUUUACUGUCAUAUUCCCAUAUAUCAUUGUGAUGUUGUUUAUUCUAUUAGUCUUGUUCUCUUCUGCUUGCUUUCUUUUUUCUUUCUCAGCAGGUGACCCAGGUGAUUGAUAUAUGCAUUUUUUUUUCUCUGCCCGUUCUGUUGUUUUUUCUCUUUUGCCCUUCUCCCCCGUCCCUCUUCUCAGCUGUUUCUCUUUCCCUCUUUCUUUCUCCCCUUCUUUCCCCCAGUCAAGUCUGUCCCGUAUUCAGUAAGUGAAAAUAAAAUAAACAAUAAAAGGUGAAUCAAAUGGACCAUUACGGCAAGGCUGGGAUGGUCAGUUUGGUAAAGUAAAUCCGUUGGGCAUCUUUCUUUGCCUUUAGACAACAAUUCUGAUGGCAAAAGAGCCAAACAGGACAGGCAAAAAAAAAAAAAAAAAAAAAGGAGUAGCUUUACGCCUAUCCCUUUGUAUGGACCUUUUACCUACUUGGCAUCCAAACGAAGCCUUGCAACAAGGAAACUUCAACUAUAGUUGCUUAGUGUGUGGCUAAAAUGCAUCCCGGACUGGUUAGGAGUCCAUCCAUCCAUUCGCUUCCGCUUAUCCUUUUCAGGGUCACGGGGGGCGCUGGAGCCUAUCCCAGCUGUCAUAGGGCAAGAGGCGGGGUACACCCUGGACAGGUCGCCAGUCUGUCGCAGGGCCAACACACAGGGUCAGACAACCAUUCGCACUCACAUUCACUCACACAUUCACACCUAGUGGCAAUUUGGAUUAUCCAAUUAACCUAUCCCCACAAGCUGGUUAGGAGUAAAGAUUAAAAUACAUGAAUACUCCUAUGACAGCUUCUGCUGGGUUUUUGAUAAAGAACAGUAAAGGUUCCCUAUUGAUUAGUGCUGUAUGAG